CUAUAGGAACCAAUCAGGACAUUUUGCCCAAGAUCUAGGACAGAAAGACUCAUGCAGUAACUCCUGCCUUACAGAUCUGGGGACCCUUCACCUGCCUCUACUACUGCAAAUGAUUGGAUAUUCGUCUGCCUUGGCUCUUCCCUAAUGUGUGGAACUAAUUUUGUUCACUCUGUUUCAUGCUGGACCUGGCCUGAAAAUGGGCCCUUAUAUUGUCUUUGCACUUUCCAACUUGCCAAGUUUCUGAAAGAAGGACCAAAGUAAUGCCAAGAACUCCCAGAUGAAGAGGACCUUCCUUAGACCUAUAACAGAUUCACUACUUGACUUUAGAGGGAAGUUUCAGCUAAUUCUCAGGAAAAGGUCAAAACAGGCCUGUGACUGUCCCUUGAAUACUGAAGGUAUAAACAAGCUUCUGGCUCCUCCAGGUCAAGCAGAGGAACACUUUUAUUAGAAUGAAGGGUUACUUCUUUGUUAUUCAAACACACACCCACACACAUCCUCUGUAGUCUCCCUAAUGAAAAACCUCAACAGAUGGAGAGCCUGAGCUCCCAAGUCCGCAGGCUGAGAAGAUGCACUUCACUCAAGGGCCAGUGGGCUGGUACAGACUAGGGAAGAGAAAAGGGACAAAGGCUGCUAGUAUAGGUAAUCACUAUCUUUUAAUACUCCUAACACAUAGAAAUUCGAAAAAUCUUGUUCAGCAAUGUUAGCAGCCUGUGAGCCUCAGAAACUAAUUUGGCCGAUGUGUCUCUGAUAGGGAGCUUAGGGCUGCACCAA
RNAcentral lists this non-coding RNA (771 nucleotides) under Pan troglodytes (chimpanzee). Lineage: Eukaryota; Metazoa; Chordata; Mammalia; Primates; Hominidae. The record is from RNAcentral.